ACACUGCUGACGAGUCUCAAACAGGACGAAACAGCUGUCCAGUGC
RNAcentral lists this non-coding RNA (45 nucleotides) under Echinostoma caproni. The record is from RNAcentral. Lineage: Eukaryota; Metazoa; Platyhelminthes; Trematoda; Plagiorchiida; Echinostomatidae.